RNAcentral lists this transfer RNA (64 nucleotides) under Chrysochroa fulgidissima. RNAcentral's name for it is "tRNA-Phe". Lineage: Eukaryota; Metazoa; Arthropoda; Insecta; Coleoptera; Buprestidae. The record is from RNAcentral.
GCUUAAAUAGCUUAUAAAGAGUUUAAUAUUGAAGAUAUUAAGGAGAUAGUUUUAUCUUUAAGCA